UACGUAGGUGGCAAGCGUUGUCCGGAUUUACUGGGCGUAAAGAGCGCGCAGGCGGUCGUUCAAGUCGCGUGUGAAGGCCCCCGGCUCAACUGGGAAGGGUCACGCGAUACUGAUCGACUCGAAGGCAGGAGAGGGUAGUGGAAUUCCCGGUGUAGUGGUGAAAUGCGUAGAUAUCAGGAGGAACACCGAUAGCGAAGGCAGCUCGCUGGGACGGUACUGACGCUGAGACGCGAAAGCGUGGGGAGCAAACAGG
This 253-nucleotide ribosomal RNA is filed under the name uncultured bacterium. RNAcentral's name for it is "partial 16S ribosomal RNA". It matches the Rfam family "Bacterial small subunit ribosomal RNA", at positions 524 to 776 of the family's 1533-position model. The record is from RNAcentral.